CCCCACUAUACUCUUUCGUUAAAAUUUUUACCAGAGUAGUACAAUUAUUAUAAUUGAAACUCAAAGAACUUGGCGGUUUUCUAGAUCUUUUCGGAGGAGCCUGUCAUCAAAUUGAUACCCCACAAGAUACCUUACCACUCCUUGUUAACAGUUUGUAUACCAUCGUCGUCAGCUCACUUCUUAAGAAGUGAGCAAAAUGAAAAACUCAUUAUGUCAGAUCAAGGUGCAGCCAAUGGAAUGGGGAUAGAUGUGCUACUUUUUUUAUAUAAUUGAGGAUAUAGAAAUGAAAUUUUUUAUUAAAAAAGGAUUCGAUAGUAAUUAACUAUAGAUUUAGUUGAUGAAGUAAGCUCUAGAUUGUGCACACACCGCCCG
Molecule: ribosomal RNA, 372 nt
Filed under: Zygothuria oxysclera
Lineage: Eukaryota; Metazoa; Echinodermata; Holothuroidea; Aspidochirotida; Synallactidae
Description: partial 12S ribosomal RNA
Rfam family: Microsporidia small subunit ribosomal RNA
Source: RNAcentral